Molecule: ribosomal RNA, 466 nt
Filed under: uncultured bacterium
Lineage: Bacteria
Description: bacterial SSU rRNA
Rfam family: Bacterial small subunit ribosomal RNA
Source: RNAcentral
GAUGAACGCUAGCGGCAGGCUUAAUACAUGCAAGUCGAGGGGCAGCACGAAUAGCAAUAUUUGGUGGCGACCGGCGCACGGGUGCGUAACACGUAUACAACCUACCUAUAACAGGGGGAUAGCCUUUCGAAAGAGAGAUUAAUACCCCGUAAUAAAUUGAAUGGCAUCAUUUGAUUUUGAAAGCUACGGCGGUUAUAGAUGGGUAUGCGUCUGAUUAGCUAGUUGGUGAGGUAAUGGCUCACCAAGGCGACGAUCAGUAGGGGAUCUGAGAGGACUAACCCCCACACUGGUACUGAGACACGGACCAGACUCCUACGGGAGCAGCAGUAAGGAAUAUUGGUCAAUGGAGGCAACUCUGAACCAGCCAUGCCGCGUGCAGGAUGACGGCCCUAUGGGUUGUAAACUGCUUUUGUACCAGAGAAAACCUAUCUACGUGUAGAUAGCUGAUAGUAUGGUAAGAAUAAGC